AAAGGUAUAGCUCAGUGGCAGAGUGCAUGCCUAGCAUGCAUGCGGUCCUGGGUUCAGUCCUCAGUACUUCCA
This 72-nucleotide transfer RNA is filed under the name Camelus bactrianus (Bactrian camel). It matches the Rfam family "tRNA". From Rfam's summary of the family: Transfer RNA (tRNA) molecules are approximately 80 nucleotides in length. Their secondary structure includes four short double-helical elements and three loops (D, anti-codon, and T loops). Further hydrogen bonds mediate the characteristic L-shaped molecular structure. tRNAs have two regions of fundamental functional importance: the anti-codon, which is responsible for specific mRNA codon recognition, and the 3' end, to which the tRNAs corresponding amino acid is attached (by aminoacyl-tRNA synthetases). tRNAs cope with the degeneracy of the genetic code in two manners: having more than one tRNA (with a specific anti-codon) for a particular amino acid; and 'wobble' base-pairing, i.e. permitting non-standard base-pairing at the 3rd anti-codon position. The record is from Rfam by way of RNAcentral. Lineage: Eukaryota; Metazoa; Chordata; Mammalia; Artiodactyla; Camelidae. RNAcentral also lists the same sequence under 2 other names.